CUCUCUCUCUCUCUCUCUCUCAGUGUUUUAAAGGUGUUGAGGUGAGGCAACCCUCUAGUGCCUCGCCUGGGCUUGCUUCCAGAAGGAGGCCACCUCAAACUGCAAGGCACUGAGUGAUGAGGCGACACCUUUGAGAAGGAACAGUAACUUCUUGGUCUUUUUUCUUCUUUUAAUUAUUUUUUAACAGAACAAAAAAAUUAGGCAAUUUAGGCUAUGGCGCCUUCCUUUUGGACUGCCAAUGGUGCUGGUUGAGGAUCUCAGUCCUUUUGUUCUGUUUAUUAUUUCUGAUAUAUAUGUACACAUUAGGCAAUUUAGGCUAUAGCGUGUUGCUUUAAAAAGGCUCUCGCAUCGCCUCUCGCAUAAGGCCAUAGGGUAUCUUGUCACGUUUCACCUUGAUAACACUGCAGCCCACUCCCCCAACCCAACCAAAAAAAAAAAAAUCCACUUGGGUAUUUCACAGUCAAAAAUACACCCUCCCCCCCCAACCACCCCAUUUGGGUUGCUAAGGCCUGCUAUUUUUUUUUUAUAUUUUUUUUAAUUUUAAUUUUGCCUUGGGUGGUCCUAUGAAUAAUUCUUCUCCACCUUCAUGCUUCCUUUGUCUGCUAUUUGUUGCUUCUAUGUUGGUGGUGUUGUUAAGUCCAUAGGCAGAGGCAUAUUAACCAAACCCAAAACAAAAUCAAUCUCAUUAUUGGCUGAAUUAAGAUUUAAUUAAUAACUUAGGCUUUGCUUCUCUCUCACUUUUUUCUUUUUUCUUUUUUUU
RNAcentral lists this unclassified non-coding RNA (760 nucleotides) under Hevea brasiliensis (rubber tree). The record is from RNAcentral. Lineage: Eukaryota; Viridiplantae; Streptophyta; Magnoliopsida; Malpighiales; Euphorbiaceae.